This 497-nucleotide ribosomal RNA is filed under the name uncultured bacterium. RNAcentral's name for it is "partial 16S ribosomal RNA". It matches the Rfam family "Bacterial small subunit ribosomal RNA", at positions 28 to 507 of the family's 1533-position model. The record is from RNAcentral.
GAUGAACGCUGGCGGCGUGCCUAAUACAUGCGAGUCGAGCGAACAGACGAGGAGCUUGCUCCUCUGACGUUAGCGGCGGACGGGUGAGUAACACGUGGAUAACCUACCUAUAAGACUGGGAUAACUUCGGGAAACCGGAGCUAAUACCGGAUAAUAUAUUGAACCGCAUGGUUCAAUAGUGAAAGACGGUUUUGCUGUCACUUAUAGAUGGAUCCGCGCCGCAUUAGCUAGUUGGUAAGGUAACGGCUUACCAAGGCAACGAUGCGUAGCCGACCUGAGAGGGUGAUCGGCCACACUGGAACUGAGACACGGUCCAGACUCCUACGGGAGGCAGCGGUAGGGAAUCUUCCGCAAUGGGCGAAAGCCUGACGGAGCAACGCCGCGUGAGUGAUGAAGGUCUUCGGAUCGUAAAACUCUGUUAUUAGGGAAGAACAAAUGUGUAAGUAACUAUGCACGUCUUGACGGUACCUAAUCAGGAAGCCACGGCUAACUACGUG